UAGAUUCUAUAACAUGCAAAGCUAAGGUAGUUAAAAGACAUUUUUCUUUUCUGGCAAAUCAGGGAAAGAGAGGAAGCAAUGGCUGACACUAAAGGAAUUUACUGUUCAUAUUCCAGCCCCACAAAUACGCUCUAGAAGCUGUAGGUUGAACAGUAAAUCAUUAGAACACAAACAUAUUUGUGUAGUUUUCUUAUGCAGAACAGUAGAAAGGGAAAGUGUAUUAUUCUUUCUGUACUCUAAGGAAAAUUAAAAGUAGACUAAACUGCAAGAGGAAGUGAGAUGCCAGUGGAAUGGCCAAGAUAAGCAGUUUGCUCCAGAUAAAAUAAUAAAAGUGGAAGGUAGUGCUGUCUUACUAUGGGGAAGAUAUUUUUCACUGAGGCAUCUCAGAUUUUUACUGUAUCAGAAUUAUGCCUGUGGAUGUGUCUGAUCUUGCUCCCAUGGAAUGGAGCUCUCUCUCCCCACUGGAAAUGAGUACAAAUCUAGGGAUUUGUACCUUCCAGAUAUACGCUACCAGAUGUUCUGCUGCUAGUUUCUUUCUCUAACCAGGAAAAAAAUUCCCUCUCUCUCCUUUUCUUUGGUUCUAGACUUUCCUUCAUCUAUGUCAUUAUUAUGUUGUUAGAUAAAUGAGAGGGAUGCAGUUUGAAUUGCUACCCACAGUAAUAUCAAUAUCAGAUGCCUGGAUGGAAAGUCCUUUAUGACUGUUCAGGAUCAAACAAAAAUAAUUACCAAUGGAGUUUGGAUCUGAAAGGAAAUCUUCAUCUCUUCACAAUUCUCCAGGUCUUGACUGGAGGUGUGACUGAACUGUUUAAGACUGUGGCAUGUCUUGUUUCGUUGCUGUGAACCCAUGACUAAAAGGGCAGCUAAAAGCAGUGUUGUAAUCAUCAGCUGCUGCUAGGAGUUUGCCAGGUUUUGGAGUGGUUGAUAAGACCAAAUACUGGGCCUGUCCUUCUCCAGUUGCAAGUAUGAGAAUAGCUCUUUUUCUUUUCAUUUUCUGUACUUUUCUCCUCUUCCCUGUGUUACUCCUCUCAGUUAUUGCCCUCUUUAAUACAAAGUACAAGGGCUUUCAUUUAUGAAAGCUCUCUCUAAAGACUGUAGGUUAAGAAAAUGGA
RNAcentral lists this long non-coding RNA (1109 nucleotides) under Numida meleagris (helmeted guineafowl). RNAcentral describes it as "lncRNA (ENSNMEG00000012944.1)". The record is from RNAcentral. Lineage: Eukaryota; Metazoa; Chordata; Aves; Galliformes; Numididae.